GACCGAAUGCCGAUCUCGAAAACCUGUCCCAGUUCGGACUGGAGUCUGCAACCCGACUCCACGAAGUUGGAUUCGCUAGUAAUCGCGCAUCAGCCAUGGCGCGGUGAAUACGUUCCCGGGCCUUGUACACACCGCCCGUCAAGCCAUGGGAGCCGGGGGCGCCUGAAGUCCGGGACCGCGAGGACCGGCCUAGGGCGAAACUGGUGACUGGGGCUAAGUCGUAACAAGGUACC
This 233-nucleotide ribosomal RNA is filed under the name uncultured bacterium. RNAcentral describes it as "partial 16S ribosomal RNA". It matches the Rfam family "Bacterial small subunit ribosomal RNA", at positions 1259 to 1500 of the family's 1533-position model. The record is from RNAcentral.